RNAcentral lists this ribosomal RNA (253 nucleotides) under uncultured bacterium. RNAcentral describes it as "partial 16S ribosomal RNA". It matches the Rfam family "Bacterial small subunit ribosomal RNA", at positions 524 to 776 of the family's 1533-position model. The record is from RNAcentral.
UACGUAGGGUGCGAGCGUUGUCCGGAAUUACUGGGCGUAAAGAGCUCGUAGGUGGUUUGUCGCGUUGUCCGUGAAAACUCACAACUCAAUUGUGGGCGUGCGGGCGAUACGGGCAGACUGGAGUACUGCAGGGGAGACUGGAAUUCCUGAUGUAGCGGUGGAAUGCGCAGAUAUCAGGAGGAACACCGGUGGCGAAGGCGGGUCUCUGGGCAGUAACUGACGCUGAGGAGCGAAAGCGUGGGGAGCGAACAGG